ACACUCGCGCACGUUCCAGGUGCUCGCCCUUUUCGUCCCUGGCGAAAGGGCAGUUCAACGGGAAACAGGGAGCCUUGCCGGCCGCGCGCCGGACGGGCCAACCUGUGCUGCCCCCGCAACGGUAAGCGACCGCGUGCGCAUCCGCCAGUGUCAGCCACUUCCGCAGCCAGCCUGCCGGAAGGGCCGCCGGCAACGACCGGGAUCCGAUCCCGGCCACAUGUCCACGCAGGACCGGCCACACGCCACUGAACCUCGGGUUCGGGAAGGCGCCGGUUCCGAGUCGCCAGCCCGGAUACCGGCCUGAACGCGGGCUGCCGCC
This 319-nucleotide non-coding RNA is filed under the name Cupriavidus oxalaticus. Lineage: Bacteria; Pseudomonadati; Pseudomonadota; Betaproteobacteria; Burkholderiales; Burkholderiaceae. The record is from RNAcentral.